AUUGAACGCUGGCGGCAGGCCUAACACAUGCAAGUCGAACGGUAACAGGAAGAAGCUUGCUUCUUUGCUGACGAGUGGCGGACGGGUGAGUAAUGUCUGGGAAACUGCCUGAUGGAGGGGGAUAACUACUCGAAACGGUAGCUAAUACCGCAUAACGUCGCAAGACCAAAGAGGGGGACCUUCGGGCCUCUUGCCAUCGGAUGUGCCCAGAUGGGAUUAGCUAGUAGGUGGGGUAACGGCUCACCUAGGCGACGAUCCCUAGCUGGUCUGAGAGGAUGACCAGCCACACUGGAACUGAGACACGGUCCAGACUCCUACGGGAGGCAGCAGUGGGGAAUAUUGCACAAUGGGCGCAAGCCUGAUGUAGCCAUGCCGCGUGUAUGAAGAAGGCCUUCGGGUUGUAAAGUACUUUCAGCGGGGAGGAAGGGAGUAAAGUUAAUACCUUUGCUCAUUGACGUUACCCGCAGAAGAAGCACCGGCUAACUCCGUG
Molecule: ribosomal RNA, 490 nt
Filed under: uncultured bacterium
Lineage: Bacteria
Description: partial 16S ribosomal RNA
Rfam family: Bacterial small subunit ribosomal RNA
Source: RNAcentral